CUAGGUGGCGAAGAUAUUUUGACUUCCCACAUCUUCACGUAAACAGCUUGCUAUCACUGAAGAAUCUCUAGUUGUACGUGGAACGGCGAUCACUUUGAAGAAAUGAAGUGCAAGUGUUGUGUAGUUCGAUGGAUACAUGCAUGUGGAUAUGGAGACUCAACAAAUUUGACGUUGCUGUUUAAGUUAAAUAUUAUUCCCCCUUCCCCCCCCCCCCCCCCCCCCCCCCCCCCCAAAAAAAAAUUAAAAAAUUGUUGUUCAGGUCGCUUGGACCUAAUGUUUACAAUUUGAUGUAGACUUGAUUGACAUCAUCAUGUAAGUUAUUUGUACUUCUCUUCCCCCAUUUGUUGUUACUGAUCACUUUGUACUCAACAAUUUAAUGUAUGUGGGAAUUGGAGAUUAGAUUGAUGUCUUAAUGUAUUUUACUGCUUUUCUCAUUUCAAGAAGGCCAAAAUGGAGGCAUUAAUAACUAGUAAGUAGAGCGACACAGAACAAUUUUACACAGGUGUGCUGGUGUAUAGUAUGCACAUGAUUUAAUUUCUUGGCCGGUGCUGGCUAGAAUGAGUUCUUAUAUGUCUUCUGCCGCCCUCUAUCAGUCCUGGACGAUCCAAUGUGUUUCAAGGAAUGAAUCAGUAGGUGGUUCCAUUGUCCAGUUGCUGUGAAACUCACUUGGAUGAAACACUCUCUUCUUCACUGUCCACAGACUUUACACCUGAUUCAGAUCAUCGCUGCUAAGUAUAAGUUCUCCUUCAGAUCAGAUAGUAUGCUCCCAGUAGCUUAUUCUUUAUCAGCAGCCUGCUGCUUGCAACAGAUGGGCAAAACACUAAAUUGAGUCUUUCAUUCGGAAUGAAAUUGAAGUGGAUUAUCUGGAGGUAUUAGGGAAUAUAACAAGCUUUGCUGAUUGAGCUACAAGCGGGUUCGCUGAAGGGAAUACUUUCUGUCUUUUUAUUGGACUUUGGUCAGAAAGGCAACUGGUGAACCAACUGCUCCAGAUUAAAAGAUGUGCGGAGAUGGCUCUUAGAUUGCGAUAUUUCAAGAAACAAGUUUUGACUCCACCAAGUCUUUCUCUUGGAAUAUUGAAAUCAAAGUGGAUUAUCUGGAGUUGAAACUUGCGCGAGCUAGAAGCUGUUCAUUGUGAUUUCUGAGAUGAAUUUAAGCAAUGAUAAGUUAUAGUGCACUUAUAAGGAGCUUUCUAAGUAUAAACUACAGGAGGCUGGAGAUUUCUUACAUUCAGCUCAAAGUAGCGCGGCUUCUAGCAAAAUGAAGAGUCGUUGGACACACCUUUAUUUUUGGAACAAGGUUGGAGAAUUCUUCUAUCCAGCUCAAAGAAGUGCGCCUUUUUAGUAUGGAGAACUGGAACAACAAAAUGCAGAGAAUACUUAAUUUGGUCAUAUGCGUUGUACUUUUCAUGUCUUCUAUCCUUUUUUAUACCUUUUCAUAAAUUUCAAUUAAUAUGUGUUUAGGACAAGUCGAUUGAUCCAUCAAAGUCUGUGUAGCUGGGGGUUCUUUGCAGGCUUGGUACCCAUAGAGAAAUCUAUGGCAUUUGAAAGGAUCUUGCUUCAUGCAACUAGGGAUAAUGUUUUUAUAAGGCAGACUAGAGUAGAGAAUCCUGUGAUGGAUUGUUUUAGACUAACAUUUGUUUUAUUCAUGUUCUAUUGUUGAUGCUUUUGGACUUACUUCUGUCUUCUUUCAGAUUUUAUCUAACUCAGUUCUUUGUUACUACUGACAUUUCUUACAGUUCAGGAAGAAAGUAAAAGGUAAGAAGAAAAAUGCCGAUGAAGUAGUGGAAGGUGCAGUGGGAAGUCUCUGUCUCAGCUCCGAUGUACCCUCUUUACUCUUUUCAGUCAAGAAAGUGGUCAGAACUGUUUAUGCGGUGGUUGGAGCCUCAUGCGUGAACCCUAAACCCUAACCAAGAUGGGUCUAAAAAGGUUUUGUCUUUAUGCCCUUCUCUUGUGAUUUUCCUGGUUUUUGCUCAUUUCUCUCUUUUUUUUUUUGCAUCUUGAUAGUGUUUUUCUUCAGGGUCAUUGUUUUGUUGUUUUUACAGGUCAUCUUUCAUUUACAAUUGUUUUUCUUUUUUUGUUGCUUUGGUUGCUAUUUGGAUGUUUGAGGUGCGCUGGGCUUGGGUCUUCUUCUUCAUUGUUGUUUAGGGUUUUGGAUGUUUGAGUUUGGGCGUAGAUUGUUCUGGGUGGAUGUUUGGGGUUUUACUGAGUUGCUUUCUGAAAGUUAUGAAGAUAUG
Molecule: RNA transcript, 2233 nt
Organism: Chenopodium quinoa (quinoa)
Lineage: Eukaryota; Viridiplantae; Streptophyta; Magnoliopsida; Caryophyllales; Amaranthaceae
Exons: 6
Source: RefSeq, a predicted model, not a curated record